GUUUCUCGCAGCAGAUAGGGCAAAUUUACACGACACCACCGCGCAGCAACCCCGUCCCCCCAACUCUCCACCCCCCUCUCUCUCUCACGGCGAGGUAAUGGCCGGCGUCGUAGAGAGCCCGCAGGAGCCGCACUGGAGCUGCAGGAGGCCGCCAAGGCUCUCGCCGUGUGGCACGCCGUCGACGGGGAGGCGUUGCGGCGGCGCUGGCCGCGCCGCAUCCCAUCUCACCCGGUUGACUGGCUGUGAGGUCACCUAGAGGAGAAGGCGUCGGCGGAAACCAAGGGUGGUGCAGGAGCCGUGGGUCUUGCUGUGCGUCGUGCCACUGAAGAGGACGUGAUGCGACGGCGUGCUCGGUUGACUCCCUCGACCCGGCCGCUCUCAACUAGGUGCUUGAUGAAGAUUUUUUUGCCUGAAGGUAAACAUUCUAUAUUUUGACGACGCAACAAAGCGCGCGGGGUCCUUUUGAUGCAACAUGAUAGGUGUUCGAACCACUGAAGAUUGGAGCACCGACACAUGGGAGGACAAUAAUGUUGGCAAGGCUACUGAGAACAUCAAGGCAGAGGGCACUGCGGCAUGGAGGUUCCGGCACAAGAUUGCAUUUGGCUCUGCAACAGCACAUGGUUGCAUUCCGCAGAUCGUCAACCGGGAUGUGAAGGCACGCAACAUCUACUUCAACUGUGCAAUGGAGCCUAGGUUAUCCGAUUUUGGGUUAUCAAAGAUCGUUGGGACUAGCAAUAUGAGGAUCUGCUCCACCAUUCUCCUGGCUAUGCUCUGGCAGAGUUCUCAGAUUCAGAGGACGCUUACAGUUUCAGCAUCGUGCUGUUUGAGCUAAUCAUCGACAAGGAGCCACUGGGUGGCGAGUCCCUUGUGCUUCCUGUUUGUCAGGGUAAGAAACAUUAUACUAUCUAUAAAUGUUCCAUCCUGAUGUGCUAGAUUGUGUGCUACAUUACUAAGCUGUCCAUCCAUAAGUUUCCAGUGGAUGGAUUGGGUAUGUAGAGGGAUCCUUUGAUGGACUUUUUCAACAGUUUGGUCCUGCAUAUUUAAAUUGUGAUAUUAAAGAUGUUACAUGUUUAAUUGUUAAGGCAUGAUAAUAUCUUGAAUCAACCAUUAAUUACUUAAUAUAUUGUUUACCCCAUCUUCAAGUUUAGUAAAUGCAUGACACUAUUCUCUUUAGUACAAAAUCAGAGAUAAGAUAUUUUUAGUUCGUUUGUUUUCCACAUGAGAGAAGUGGUAAUUAAUUUUGUCAAUUCAUGGAGCCGGAAUGCGUAGUGGCUGCAGUGAAAAUAUUCUUACCAGCUUCCCGUAUCGCAUUGGAAAUACUAGAUAUCAGCAACACUUCAGUGAUGAAUUUUCAAUAGAUGUAUCUUAAUCCUCUAAUCAUGCACUUUAUCCUUUUUUUCAUUUACCAGAUUGAGAUCUCCUUGGAAAUUACUUCACCAUCAUAGGAUAUGUGUACAGAUUUAGCCAAGUAUGUGGAUAAGGCUUCAUAUUUUAUAUUUCUAUAUGAUUAUCCAUUCGUGGUGCAAAAGAAAGGGUCACGUGAUGCAUAACACCACUUCGUACAUAGAUUAUUUAGAUAUAUGAUGACCUUGUGGUGCGAAGUUUUUCUAAAAUUGGAGAUUGCUUGCUGGGUGUUUUAGUAACGAUGAUGUGUGCUUAACAUUUUAUAUGGGCAGGAGUAUCAAGGUGUUUUCCUGUCAAGAAAGAUACUAUGUGCUAGAAGAGCACUGGAAGGAUAAAAAAUGUAUAAAUAAUAUUGUAUAUCGACGGUAAAAAGGAGUGGUUGCCUCCUAAUUUUUGCGAAGUUAUAAUUUAUUGUCGUGAUUGUAACUAUGCAUAGUUAUGCCUUUGUUAAUGAAUCUUUGCGCUUUGCAUCUAUAUGUGCAUUGCAGUGUUUACUUA
This is an RNA transcript of Lolium perenne, 1902 nucleotides long. It is a transcript of the gene named probable LRR receptor-like serine/threonine-protein kinase At2g24230, with no coding region annotated. The record is from RefSeq and is a predicted model, not a curated record. NCBI's taxonomy places the organism in Eukaryota, Viridiplantae, Streptophyta, Magnoliopsida, Poales, Poaceae.